Molecule: long non-coding RNA, 1339 nt
Filed under: Carica papaya (papaya)
Lineage: Eukaryota; Viridiplantae; Streptophyta; Magnoliopsida; Brassicales; Caricaceae
Description: long non-coding RNA (CPAP_LNC001466)
Source: RNAcentral
GUUUCUCUCUUGCCACCAUAAUGGAUCCCCCUAAACUAUAAAUAGGGGAUGGGGGGAAGGGAAGAGAGGCAGGAGAGGCCAAGAGGAAGGAAAGAAAGAGAGAAAGAGAGAAGAGAAGGGAGAGAGGCCGUGAGGUGAGAAAGAGAGAGUGGGAGUGAGAAACCCAUGAGGGUGUGUGUGUUUGUGAGAAUUUUGUGAGUCUUCCUUGGGGGAAACUCUGCUGAAAUUAUGAGAGGAAGGAAGAAAAAAGGAGGAAGGAACAGCAAAAGAAAGGAGAGGAAAAAGAGACAACUAAGCCAUGGCGAAGGAAGGCCAUAAUCGUGAGGAAAGGUAAGCAAUUUUCUUAAUUUUGGAAUUUAAUUUUUCAUGAGAUUUUGGGAUUAGUCUUUGAGUUAUAUUGUCAUUAUUUUUAAGACAAGAAAGUGAAUGAAAUCAUCUUGAGCUUUGUGAAGUUUUCAAAAGAAAAGGCUCAAGAAUUAAGACAUGACUCUCUCAGAAUUAAGGUUACAUGUUCUACAAGGUACAUAAUUUUAGGUUUCUUUUCAAGGGAAUUAGUUUACAUAUAAUGAGAAUAUUUUUUAUUGUAAAAUAAAAAUAAUUCUAAGGGGAGAUGCUGCCGAAAUUUGGUUAUAAAAUUGAAGUAUUUACAAGGGGAUACUCUUCUAAAAUAGAUAGAGAAAUUGAGAAAAAUAAAAAGGGAGAUUUUAACGAAGUAAAUACUCGAGGUUAAAAAGUGAGUGGAGAGGUUUGAAUUGAUUGUGUAGGACCUAAGGCAAGUGGAUCUUAUGGCUUUACUAGCGCUAGGUAGUUUUUGACAUAUUUCAAUAUAUAUAUAAGUGAAUUUGUGGUAUUAAUUGUAUGUGGUUUUAAGUAUUUGAUUGAUGUUGAUUUUGAUAAAACAUGUGUUGAUUUUAAGAAGGUUGUGGUGAUGUGGUUUCAAACAUGGAUCUUGUUUUGUGUGCAUCAUCAAUUAUAGAGAAGGGAUGUUCAGCUCCUACCUGCAUUAUGCUAAGUAGUGAUAUGCAUUGAGCACAUAGGGAGGUGGGUGGAGUUGUGAGAGCUAUGAAUGCCCAGUCGGUUCUGUGUCUCCGGGUUAUUAGUGGGCCUAUAAUCUCUUGUGUUAUGGAUCAUGGUGUAUGUGACAAGUGAUUGAGCCAAUAAUUAGUGUAAAAGGGGUGUGGGUUACCGAACCUUCAUAACAGCGUAUGACUCAUUGUAUAAUAUAACACUAUGACCUUAAUAUCAUGGAUUUGAGAUAUUAAACUGUAUAAGAUAUAUAUGAUUUUAAUAUGUUUAAAAACUUCUAUAUAUUGUAUGUAUUAAGUUGUGUUGUCAUAAU